AGAGUUUGAUCCUGGCUCAGAACGAACGCUGGUGGCGUGCUUCAUACAUGCAAGUCGAGCGAGGACAGCAGCUUGCUGCUGAGCCGAGCGGCGCACGGGUGAGUAUCGCGUGAGUAACCUGCCCUUAAGUCGGGAAUAACCCCCCUAACGGGGGACUAAUACCGGAUAUUGAGUGUUUCUGCAUGGGAAUUAGUCAAAAGGAGGCAACUCCGCUUAAGGAUGGACUCGCGUCUGAUUAGCUAGUUGGGGGGGUAACUGCCCACCAAGGCGACGAUCAGUAGCCGGCCUGAGAGGGUGAUCGGCCACAAUGGGACUGAGACACGGCCCAUACCCCUACGGGAGGCAGCAGUAGGGAAUAUUGCGCAAUGGACGGAAGUCUGACGCAGCAACGCCACGUGUGGGAUGACGCCUCUCGGGGCGUAAACCACUGUCAGCAGGGACUAGCCUACAGUGCAGACUGUACCGAAUGUACCUGCGAAGGAAGCACCGGCAAACUUCGUGCCAGCAGCCGCGGUAACACGAGGGGUGCAAGCGUUGUUCGGAAUCACUGGGCGUAAAGGGAGCGCAGGCGGGAGAUCAAGCUUGGAGUCUAAUUCCGGGGCCUAACCUCGGGUUUGCUUCAGGAACUGGUUUUCUUGGAUGGGUUAAGGGUUGGCGGAAUUCCGGGUGUAGCGGUGGAAUGCGUAGAUAUCCGGAGGAACACCGAUGGCGAAGGCAGCCAACUGGUACCACAUCGACGCUCAUGCUCGAAGGCGUGGGGAGCAAACAGGAUUAGAUACCCUGGUAGUCCACGCCGUAAACGAUGUCCGCUAGGCGCCUGAUUUAGUUUGGGUGCCGCAACUAACGCAUUAAG
Molecule: ribosomal RNA, 853 nt
Filed under: uncultured bacterium
Lineage: Bacteria
Description: bacterial SSU rRNA
Rfam family: Bacterial small subunit ribosomal RNA
Source: RNAcentral